UACAGAGGUCUCAAGCGUUGUUCGGAUUCAUUGGGCGUAAAGGGUGCGUAGGUGGCGCCGUAAGUCAGGUGUGAAAUCUCGGGGCUCAACCCCGAAACUGCACUUGAUACUGCGGUGCUCGAGUACUGGAGAGGAGAUUGGAAUUUACGGUGUAGCAGUGAAAUGCGUAGAUAUCGUAAGGAAGACCAGUGGCGAAGGCGGAUCUCUGGACAGUUACUGACACUGAGGCACGAAGGCCAGGGGAGCAAACGGG
This 253-nucleotide ribosomal RNA is filed under the name uncultured bacterium. RNAcentral describes it as "partial 16S ribosomal RNA". It matches the Rfam family "Bacterial small subunit ribosomal RNA", at positions 524 to 776 of the family's 1533-position model. The record is from RNAcentral.